UCUCCCUCCACACCUCCCUGCAAGCUGAGGGAGCCGGCUCUGGCCUUGGCCAGCCCAGGAAGGGACUCCCACAGUACAGCAGUGGGCUGAAGGGCUCCUCAAGUGCCCCCAUAGUGGAAGCCCAGGCAGAGGAGGCGCCAAGAGCGAGUGAGGGCUGUGAGGACUGCCAGCACGCUGUCACCUCUCAGCAUUGCCCAAGGAGAGUGGGCUAUGCGGGAGGAAAGAGAGAACUAGAAAGGAUUAUCUUGAUUAUUUAUAGAAAAGGUACAAGUGCUCCAUGGAGAAAAUGGUGAUUCAGCGCCUGAGCCAUGAAAUAUACAAGAUGAGCCUGGAGAAUCCUGCAGUUCUAGAAAGGUGCUCCUUGACAUCCUAUGAAAGAAUGUCCUUGAAGAAAGAUGCUAAAAUGUUCAACGAUUUUUUUAAAGCAGAAAGUCUGAAGUAGCUGCGUUUUUAUUUUAGGUUCAGUGGGUACAUGUGCAGGUUUGUUACAUGGAUGAAUUGCGUCACUGAGGUUUGGAGUACAAAUGUUUGUGUCACCCAGUAGUGAGCAUAGUAACCAACAGAUAAUGAAUAUCACUUUGGAAUAAAACAGCAAAUGAAAUAGUUGCAGAUUGUACCAUCAGUUUAUGUGGCCUCUAAGGGAGAAGAUUUCAUUUAAGAUACAAAGUCCGAAGAACAAAUCACUCCAACAGGAUUCAGCCUCGUCGUUUCCUGUGGAAAAAGAAAGAAAGAAAGAAAAAAGUUUGCCUACCUAUUUUGUGUUUUUCCUAUUUAAACAGAGUUUCAUGAGAACAGAAAAGUAGUCUUAGAGAUUUUGCCAAAAUUGCAGCAAUUACCUUUGAAGACUUGGCAAUGCUUAGUGGACAAGAAUCUGAAAGGUAGCUAAAAAGGUGCAUUCUAAGCGAUAGUACUUAUAUUGGUAUAAGCACUUUGUAGAAUUUUGUGUUCAUAUACAUAUGCACAUAUACAUAUAUACAAGCCUCUAUAGUCUCUUUCUGCAUAUAUACAUAUAAAAUCCUUAUCAACCCCAUGAUACAGAAAUGUAGCGUGUUGGUACACUCAGUUUGUCAACUGAGAAAACACUGUCUCAAUAAGGUUUAGCAAUUUACCACAUGGUACAUUUGGAAAAAAGACAAAGCAGACAGAGCUAUUUAGGUUCUUGGUGAAUUUCCCCUUUCCCUAAACCCACAGGCUUCUAUAACAUCAAUUACUAAUUUUGAGCCAAAUCAGUUGGCAAAAGGAAUUUUGUAAAUGAGUUAAUGAAAAGGGAGAUUAUUUAGAUGGACCUGACCAAGUCACAUGAACUUUCACAUAAGGUUCUACAGGUCAGAGACAGAGGAAAAAAUCGUAACUCAAAAUACAGAAAGUAUUCAACUUCUCUUUGAAGAUUUAGGGGUCCAUGUAACAGAAAACAGUGGGCCCAACCCAAAGGGGCUCAAAGUGGAUUCUUCUCCAGAGCCUCUAUACCUUGAGUGAAACUCCUUUAGCAGAGAAUCCAGUAAAAUCAAACCUGGAGUUGUAACAUAUAGAAAUGUAAGAUCAUAAAUGGAUGUUGUUUAAGUUACUAAGUUUUUGGUAUUUUUAUAUAGUAAUAUAAAAUUAAUUCAAGUAGGACUAUAAUUUUCAAAUUCUCAAACUUCAUGAUACAGGUAGAAGGGAUCAUGUUCCUCCAUAA
RNAcentral lists this long non-coding RNA (1675 nucleotides) under Homo sapiens (human). RNAcentral describes it as "HSALNT0349202". Lineage: Eukaryota; Metazoa; Chordata; Mammalia; Primates; Hominidae. The record is from RNAcentral.